Molecule: long non-coding RNA, 3961 nt
Organism: Acinonyx jubatus (cheetah)
Lineage: Eukaryota; Metazoa; Chordata; Mammalia; Carnivora; Felidae
Exons: 4
Source: RefSeq, a predicted model, not a curated record
GCCUCCGCGCCUAUACGCUGGGCCGCCGCCGCCGCGCGCGCGCCCCUCUUGCCCCGGCGCCCGCCGCCCAGCGGACCGGCUCCGGUCUCAGCCUCACAGCAGCGCCUGAAAUGGCGGCGGCGGCCGCGGGCCUUCCCCACCGGAAAUGACGCGCGCUUUGCCCCCUCGAGGAUGCCGGGAAGGGGACCGCCACCCGCCAUUGGGAGAAGGGCAAAGUAUGCCUCGAGCGCUCACUGCGCGUGCGUUCUCACGUGCGUCGCCACCUGGCGGGGAUCGGGACUGCAGCGGAUGGACAGGCAAAGUCUGGGACGAGGGGUAGGGGCUCAGCCAGCAGUCGGCGGAGGUUUGUGUUUGUGCUUUGGGACCCGAGGCUCUUCUCUGCACCAGGCUUCAAGUUCCUGGAAGGCCCAGAAUUUCUAGGCGGCGACUCCGGGCCAGAACUGGAGUACAAAAGAUGCAUGUGGCCCCAGGGCCUGAGUUCCGGGAGACCCGUCUUUUUCUGGUGGUUCCUCCAGCUUUUGUCUAUACUGGCUAAAGUUUUUUGUUUGCAUUGAUUCAUUCAGCAAACAGUUAUUGACACCACUGUGGGUGCAAAGGUGAUCAAGUCUGGGCCUUGACCUCACCGAAUUCACCACCAAUGGGAGGAACCAGGAAACAAUGACAAAGGAAUGCCAAGUGCUGUGAUAGGGAACCGAGAAGGGACUCUAGGAGCACGGGGGGGGGGGGGGGGGGGGGUGCUAAUCCAGUCUGUAAAGGGAUUCAAUACGAAGUGGCUUACCAGAGGAGGUGGCUUGAGCUGAAUGUUGAAUGGCAAGUGGGGAAAGAGCAUUCAACACAAAGGAAGCAGAAUGUGCCAAGCGAGGUAGAGCUAUCUCCAUUUUACAGAUGAAGCUCAGGGAGGUUAAGUAAUUUGUCCAGAGACACACGGCUGGCUGCCGAGUGAGGAGCUGGCAUUCAAAUCCUGGAAGGAACAGAGAGCUAUGGUCCUUGUGCCACAUCCUCAGGCUCCUGGAAUGGGAACGGAGAGGGACUCGAGGCUGGGGGAGGAUGGCAGAAAUAGGCAUUAAAAAAAAAAUCAGCCAGCCCUGGGUUUUGGUCUUAACAUGAACAGCACACCUCUUCCGGAUCUACUUCACACACUCCUGGGCCUGCUCUGGGAAGGGAAGGAGAGCAAAGGCACCUUCCAUGCUGUGGGUGACUCAUCGUGACCCUGGCUUAGUCACAGCCAAGUUACCACAAGCCAGCAGCAGAAAUCAUCCCAGUGUGAAUUCUGGCCCUUUGGGAAAGAGGAGUGCCUGCUCUUCGCUUCUCCAGAAUGGCGGAGCCUUGAGGCAAAGCCUUACCAGGAGGCUGCUUGUGGGCUCUGAAGCCAUUUCUCCAAACCCUCUCUCUGGGGCAUAUGGAUAUGACAGAAAACGUACUUUAAAAGAAGAAAAAGGGAAAGGAAGGAAGGAAGGCACAGAGGAAGGAAGGAAACAGAUCAUAAACUGGAUUAUAAGCAAGGAGAUCGACAAGGAAGGAGACCUAGACUCAAGGCGCUACUCGCGUGUGUUCUUUCUUGAGCACAGAGAGGCCAAUGAGACAGAGAAAGGCAGAAUGCGUUGUGUGCCUUGCUGCGAGGUGAAUGCCCCUCCCUGCCUCCAUCCUUUAGGAAAGUCUUUGCAGUGAGGCAUCCAAGAGAAGGUGUCACCUUCGUUGUCUCCAUCCUCUCCAAGCUGAGGAAGUCAAGAACAUCUGAAGGAGGCAAGAUGCAACCGUGCCCGUCUUGUCGUCUCCCCCUACUCACCCGUCCCUGGCUCCUCUGAUUCUUCUUCCUCCUCCUCUGACGAGCCUCCGCACUUUGCACUUGCUGUUCCCUCCACUGGCGGCCCACGGUCAGUCCCUCACCUCCUCCAGGUCUGUGCCCCAUGUUGCCCCCUCAGGGAGACCUUCCCUCACCCGCCCAUUUGCAAAGGCGAAUGGUGCAGCCACCUCUGCUUCUCCUCCUUCUCUGCUUUAUUUAUUUUCCUCCUCUAAAACAUAAGCUCCGUAAAAGCAAGGAUUUGGGUGCUUUUUGUUCUUGCUAUAUCCCGAGUGCCUGGCAGAGAGCCUGGCACAUAAUAGACAUUAAGUAAAUACUGGUUGAAUGAAGGAAUGGACAGAGAUUUGGGUGGAGACUCUUGUCCAGGGCCCCAUGUAGCUUCCCACAGUUGGCACGCAACUCCUGGAGGGCACUGGACUUCCUGCAGGACGUGAGCUGGGGGUGCAGACCAUUCUUGACUGCCUCGCCAGAGGCCAAGGCUCCUGGGCCAGACGUGGGUCACGUCUGCGACGUGGCCUUUGCACGCAUCGCAGUUUGCUAGAGAAAGGCGUGUUGCUGGGUUCUAAAGCUGCUAAUUGCACCCAGCACAAUGCUUAUCUUAUCUGUCGGCUUCUUGCAGCCACUGCUACUACUGAUAGAGCGGACAAAUUAUUGUGGUGCUUUUUUUUUUUCCUGUAGUUGGGGGAGUGUCAAAUCUAGGUUGUGCACACAGGAUUGCGUCAAGCCCAAGAUAGUCCCACGUUGUACAGUAUCUCAUUCAUCGGGAACUUCUGCCCCGGAUGAUGAAUCUAAGCUCCUGGGCAGAUAGCUUGACCCCAAAUUAAACUUUUUCUUGCCUUUAACCCCUUCCUUUGCCAUUCCUUCUGCUCACCACGCCUGUCCCACUUGGGAAAACUCUUAGCCAUCUGCCAAGGAGUUCUGUGGAUGCUGCCUGCAACACUCAUUCCCUUUCUUCUGGAGGCACCACUCUGAUGAUCUCUUGGGAAGGCAUCUGCCCCCGCUCUUGGACCAUGAGUCAGGCACAGGGAGAGAGACAGAGCAUGAGCGGGGGAGGAGCAGAAAGAAAGGGAGACGCAGAAUCUGAAGCAGGCUCCAGGCUCUGAGCUGUCAGCACAGAGCCCGACGAGGAGCUUGAACUUGGAACGGCGAGAUCAUGACCUGAGCCAAAGUUGGACGCUUCACCGACUGAGCCACCCAGGCGCCCCCUGAGACUUUUGAAUUACUGGGAAAGACGCUCUUUUUUCCUACCUCCUUAUGCUCAACUCACAGAGUGAAAGCCCAGAGCUGCUGCUGACUGUUGCCGCCAUGCCACAGGGCAGAACCUGCUUGACAGUGGAGCCACCGCAGAGGAAGGCUGAGCCAAGAGACGGUCCCAGACAUGUUCUUAACGAUGUUGUUUGAGUGCCUGCAAGCAGCCCUACCCUGGGACCAUUAGGUCGCUAAUGCUAAUAAAUGCCUUUUCUGCCCAAGCCAAUUUAGAUUUUAUUUGCCACUUGCCACAGAAUUUGGAGCCUAUCCUUUGGGACCCAGCUCAGAUGUCAUCUUCUCUGUGAAGUGUUUACAGCCUUUCUCCCCCACUGAGUCCAUCGCUAGUCAGUGUGCCCCUUGGGGCCUGCACUUCCCACACUGGGCUGUGUUUCUCUCCGCCGGGCUGAGGACCACUGGGCAGGGACUGUGUGAGAUGCAUCUUCCCCUGGCCCACAGCAGUGGGCCAGGCUGAGCAGCCCUUCGGUAGAUAGUUAACGAAAAAGCAAGUCUGUGUUGCAGCUACUGGUUACUUCUGUUUUCCCUCCGGGAAGGCACCCUGCCUUCCUCCUUCUGUGGACAAGGCAAAAAUUCUAACACAAGACCCCGGGUUGCCUUUAGGGGUCCUGUCCCUUUUCCUAACAUUCACAAGCAGACCAAUGUUGGCAAACACAUAUUGCUUUAUUUAGUGUUUCUCUGGAUUGCAGAAGUAUCAGCAGUGGGCUGAGACCCCCAGGAGGGCAGAGGCAGCUGGGCAGCGCUCAGGCCCUCUGGGGAGGUGGGGGGACACAGCAGAAAGAGGUGAUGCCUCUGCAGCUCCUCCCAAGGCUAGCCUCUUCCCUGGGCUCCGCAGACAGUAGGGCGUAAGGGCCAGGAAAGGGCCUACAUCCUUGAAUUGGGGCCAAAGUAUAUAAA